RNAcentral lists this ribosomal RNA (834 nucleotides) under Pseudonocardia sp. CC010320-02. Its description in RNAcentral is "bacterial SSU rRNA". It matches the Rfam family "Bacterial small subunit ribosomal RNA", at positions 22 to 863 of the family's 1533-position model. Lineage: Bacteria; Bacillati; Actinomycetota; Actinomycetes; Pseudonocardiales; Pseudonocardiaceae. The record is from RNAcentral.
GCUCAGGACGAACNCNGGCGGCGUGCUUAACACAUGCAAGUCGAGCGGUAAGGCCCUUUNGGGGGUACACGAGCGGCGAACGGGUGAGUAACACGUGGGUGACCUGCCCUCCACUCUGGGAUAAGCCUGGGAAACUGGGUCUAAUACCGGAUAGGACCNCUGGCUGCAUGGUUGGUGGUGGAAAGUUUUUUUCGGUGGGGGAUGGGCCCGCGGCCUAUCAGCUUGUUGGUGGGGUGAUGGCCUACCAAGGCGGUGACGGGUAGCCGGCCUGAGAGGGCGACCGGCCACACUGGGACUGAGACACGGCCCAGACUCCUACGGGAGGCAGCAGUGGGGAAUAUUGCGCAAUGGGCGGAAGCCUGACGCAGCGACGCCGCGUGGGGGAUGACGGCCUUCGGGUUGUAAACCUCUUUCGCCAGGGACGAAGAGUGAUUGACGGUACCUGGAGAAGAAGCACCGGCCAACUACGUGCCAGCAGCCGCGGUAACACGUAGGGUGCGAGCGUUGUCCGGAAUUAUUGGGCGUAAAGAGCUCGUAGGCGGUGUGUCGCGUCGGCCGUGAAAACUUGGGGCUUAACUCUGAGCGUGCGGUCGAUACGGGCAUCACUUGAGUUCGGCAGGGGAGACUGGAAUUCCUGGUGUAGCGGUGAAAUGCGCAGAUAUCAGGAGGAACACCGGUGGCGAAGGCGGGUCUCUGGGCCGAUACUGACGCUGAGGAGCGAAAGCGUGGGGAGCGAACAGGAUUAGAUACCCUGGUAGUCCACCGCCGUAAANCGUUGGGCGUCUAGGUGUGGGGACCAUUCCAACGGUUUCUGUGCCGCAGCUAACGCAUAAU